UAAAUAUGCUAUUUAAAAAUACUAAUUAAAUUGAAAUGAAACAAUAAUUAAAUAUACAGAUUAAUUUAAAACGAGGGUAAAAGGAUUACCAAAAGCCAAAAGUUAUGGGCUUGAUCCAACGGGCUACGCAAUUCGGGCCUUUUUGUUUUUUGUUUUUACUUCUUUUUUUUCUUUUUCUUUUUCUUCCCCUUUUUUCUGGACUGGGCUGGGCUGUUUGUACUGGGCCUGGGGGCUGCACUGCUGGACUGGGUUGGCCUGCUAGGCGCUGUUGGGCCUGGCUCCUGGGUUGGCCUGCUUGAUCUGCUGCUGGGCUGCACUUGGGCUGGGCAGUUGGCCUGCUUGUUUUUUCUGCUUUUUUCUUCUUUUUUUUUGGGGGUUUGAGGCUACUGGUGGGCUACUACUGCUGCUGCUGGGUGCUGUUGUUUGGGUCGGAUCCGGGUCGGGUCGGGUCGACCCAAUUACUCCUUUUAUUUUAUUAUUUUAUUUCUUUUUUCUUUCACUUUUUCCUUUUCUUCUCUUUUUUCUUCUUUUUCUUCUCCAAGCCGAACCCCAGCCUCCUUGCUCUUCCUCACCGUCGCCACUUCCUCCACACGGUGCGAUGGUCGCCGGCGUCUCCUCUUCUCUCCUUCUUUCUUCUUCUCUUCUUUUCUCUUUUCCUUUUCUUUUUGGUUGCUAUUUUUCUGUGCUUGCUGUUUUUAUAUUUUGCUUGUUGCUUUCCUUAUUUGUGUAGAUGCGACGGUGGUGGAGGUGUCACGGUGAAGGUGCGACGACGGUGGUUGCGAGAGGAGGCUUUUGGCUGCUGUUUCUUGACUGUUUUUGCUGCUAUUUUUUUAAUUUUUUUCUUUUCUUUGCUGCCAAAACUGAACCCCCCUCUCUUCCUCUCAUCUUCUUCUUUUAAAUCCUUCAAUUUUGUCUUCUUUCCUUUGUUUUCAGGCGGUAGGAGAGCAUCNNNNN
This 954-nucleotide long non-coding RNA is filed under the name Gossypium raimondii (Peruvian cotton). RNAcentral describes it as "long non-coding RNA (GRAI_LNC000231)". The record is from RNAcentral. Lineage: Eukaryota; Viridiplantae; Streptophyta; Magnoliopsida; Malvales; Malvaceae.